This 254-nucleotide ribosomal RNA is filed under the name uncultured bacterium. Its description in RNAcentral is "partial 16S ribosomal RNA". It matches the Rfam family "Bacterial small subunit ribosomal RNA", at positions 524 to 776 of the family's 1533-position model. The record is from RNAcentral.
UACGGAGGGUGCGAGCGUUGUCCGGAAUCACUGGGCGUAAAGGGCGCGUAGGUGGCCUGUGGAAGUCUGCGGUGAAAGCCCGGCGCUCAACGCCGGGUCGGCCGUGGAUACUCUCGGGCUUGAGCUUACUAGAGGCAGAUGGAAUUCCGGGUGUAGCGGUGGAAUGCGUAGAGAUCCGGAAGAACACCGGAGGCGAAGGCGGCUUCCUGGACCGACACUGACGCUGAGGCGCGAAAGCUAGGGGAGCAAACGGG